AAAAUCGUGGUGCCUUGCACCUCGAAUUGUAAUCUGGAGAAGUGUCCUCUGCAACGGACCAGACCCAAGUUCACUGGAAAGUGGCGUCAGAGAGGGUGAAAGCCCCGUCGAGUCUGGAUGCUGUUGCAAAACGAGGCACUGUCUGCGAGUCGAGCUGUUUGGGAAUGCAGCUCUAAGUGGGUGGUAAAUUCCAUCCAAGGCUAAAUAUUGGCAAGAGACCGAUAGCGAACAAGUACCGCGAGGGAAAGAUGAAAAGGACUUUGAAAAGAGAGUUAAAAAGUGCUUGAAAUUGCUGGGAGGGAAGCGAAUGGAAGCUGCGGGUGUGCCCCGGUUGGAUGUGGAACGGUUCAGGCUGGUCCGCCGCUCAACGCGGGGCACUGGUCAGCGUGGGCCACCGCGGCGGGACAAGAGCGGGAUGUAGUUUCCUGCCUAUGCCGUUGUGGUGGCCGAGGAACGAAGCGUGCGCCUCUUGUGGCGUGGUAUAAUGAUGCCAACUGCAUGCUCGGGACGCUGGCGUAUUGAGCUCUUCAUCCGACCCGUCUUGAAACACGGACCAAGGAGUCUAACAUGUAUGCGAGCCGGUGGGCGGCAAACCCAUUGAGGCGCAAGUAAACUGACA
This 619-nucleotide ribosomal RNA is filed under the name Timmia megapolitana. Its description in RNAcentral is "eukaryotic LSU rRNA". It matches the Rfam family "Eukaryotic large subunit ribosomal RNA", at positions 117 to 730 of the family's 3401-position model. The record is from RNAcentral. Lineage: Eukaryota; Viridiplantae; Streptophyta; Bryopsida; Timmiales; Timmiaceae.